GCCGGUGUGGUGGAAUAGGCAGACACCCGGGACUUAAAAUCCCGUGAAACGAAAGUUUCGUACCGGUUCGAUUCCGGUCACCGGCACCA
Molecule: transfer RNA, 89 nt
Filed under: Bacillota bacterium
Lineage: Bacteria; Bacillati; Bacillota
Also listed under: 2 other names
Description: tRNA-Leu
Rfam family: tRNA
About the family: Transfer RNA (tRNA) molecules are approximately 80 nucleotides in length. Their secondary structure includes four short double-helical elements and three loops (D, anti-codon, and T loops). Further hydrogen bonds mediate the characteristic L-shaped molecular structure. tRNAs have two regions of fundamental functional importance: the anti-codon, which is responsible for specific mRNA codon recognition, and the 3' end, to which the tRNAs corresponding amino acid is attached (by aminoacyl-tRNA synthetases). tRNAs cope with the degeneracy of the genetic code in two manners: having more than one tRNA (with a specific anti-codon) for a particular amino acid; and 'wobble' base-pairing, i.e. permitting non-standard base-pairing at the 3rd anti-codon position.
Source: RNAcentral